RNAcentral lists this unclassified non-coding RNA (334 nucleotides) under soil metagenome. RNAcentral's name for it is "partial contains 5.8S ribosomal RNA, internal transcribed spacer 2, and large subunit ribosomal RNA". The stretch from base 1 to 120 matches the Rfam family "5.8S ribosomal RNA", at positions 35 to 154 of the family's 154-position model. The record is from RNAcentral.
GAUGAAGAACGUAGCGAAAUGCGAUAAGUAAUGUGAAUUGCAGAAUUCAGUGAAUCAUCGAAUCUUUGAACGCACAUUGCGCCCGCCAGUAUUCUGGCGGGCAUGCCUGUUCGAGCGUCAUUUCAACCAUCAAGCCCUGCUUGUGUUGGGGUCCUGCGGCUGCCCGCAGGCCCUGAAAACCAGUGGCGGGCUCGCUAGUCACACCGAGCGCAGUAAUACAUCUCGCUUUGGGCGUGCGGCGGGUUCUUGCCGUUAAACACCCCCUUUUUACCAAGGUUGACCUCGGAUCAGGUAGGAAUACCCGCUGAACUUAAGCAUAUCAAUAAGCGGAGGA